RNAcentral lists this long non-coding RNA (419 nucleotides) under Salmo trutta (river trout). RNAcentral's name for it is "lncRNA (ENSSTUG00000037616.1)". The record is from RNAcentral. Lineage: Eukaryota; Metazoa; Chordata; Actinopteri; Salmoniformes; Salmonidae.
AAUGAAAGAGGUCCACUGAGCCCUUUGAGAAGGGCCUGGUGAGGUUACUGGCCCAGGGAGACCAGUAUGAGCCCAGGGACCUGGAGAGGACACUACAGGAGAUGCUUCUGUCAGCCCCAGCAGCCUUCAGGCAGAGACUAGAGGUCUGCAGGUUCCUCCUCCCCCACUGUGGCCCUGUCUCAGCCUUCAGGGAGAUAAUACAGUACUUCCUGGAAAGACCUGUAAGGCACCUGAGCACUUUAAAAAAGACUGCACUGAGCCAUCCUGUCAGGAACAUGACAUAGGUUCUCACCACGUAGGGCAUCAGACGGCGUGCAGCAGCAAGAGCCUAGGCCAGAGGUAAGAGCUCUACCUGUUCAGUCCAAGACAUGUGACCUUGUGGCUGAUGCACUGAUGGGUUAUACUAAGAGGAUCCCUGC